Molecule: ribosomal RNA, 381 nt
Filed under: uncultured bacterium
Lineage: Bacteria
Description: bacterial SSU rRNA
Rfam family: Bacterial small subunit ribosomal RNA
Source: RNAcentral
GACGAACGCUGGCGGCGUGCUUAACACAUGCAAGUCGAGCGGUAAGGCCCUUUCGGGGUACGACGAGCGGCGAACGGGUGAGUAACACGUGGGUGACCUGCCCUCAGCUCUGGGAUAAGCCUGGGAAACUGGGUCUAAUACUGGAUAUGACUCCACGGUGCAUGUCGUGGGGUGGAAAGCCUUGUGCGGCUGAGGAUGGGCCCGCGGCCUAUCAGCUUGUUGGUGGGGUGACNGGCCUACCAAGGCGACGACGGGUAGCCGGCCUGAGAGGGCGACCGGCCACACUGGGACUGAGACACGGCCCAGACUCCUACGGGAGGCAGCAGUGGGGAAUCUUGCGCAAUGGGCGAAAGCCUGACGCAGCGACGCCGCGUGAGGGAU